RNAcentral lists this long non-coding RNA (408 nucleotides) under Elaeis guineensis (African oil palm). RNAcentral's name for it is "long non-coding RNA (EGUI_LNC053303)". Lineage: Eukaryota; Viridiplantae; Streptophyta; Magnoliopsida; Arecales; Arecaceae. The record is from RNAcentral.
CCCUAGCAUGAGAACCUUGUCUCUAUAACUUAGGCCAUGCUUAACAAUAAUACAAUGGAACAUGACACUAGAAAACACCACGAAGUAGAAGAAAUAAAGGAGAAGAGAACUUUUAUUAAAUAAUCUCUCACUAGAUUACAACAGAAGCUCUCCUGGUCCUUCGAUCUCUCAUAGAUACAAGAGGAUCCCUAGAUGAUCUCUCCCUUGAUGAUCUCUCUAACCCCAUCCUUGAGGGUCCUUGUACAGCAAAGCAACCCCAAGUUACAAAGUCCCUCACAAACUCAAACUCUUCAUGUAUAAGAUAAGGAUAAAUCCUAGACACGUGCAGAAUCCCCACUCUCGUAGGACUCUGUGCAGUCAAAUAAAACUACCCCUCAAAGUUGCACACGUAAAUAGAUUGACUCUGGG